GCCUGGGUGGCUCAGUCAGUUGAGCAUCUGACUUCAGCUCAGGUCAUGAGCUCUCUUUCGUGGGUUCGAGCCCUGCGUCGGGCU
This 84-nucleotide transfer RNA is filed under the name Felis catus (domestic cat). It matches the Rfam family "tRNA". From Rfam's summary of the family: Transfer RNA (tRNA) molecules are approximately 80 nucleotides in length. Their secondary structure includes four short double-helical elements and three loops (D, anti-codon, and T loops). The record is from Rfam by way of RNAcentral. Lineage: Eukaryota; Metazoa; Chordata; Mammalia; Carnivora; Felidae. RNAcentral also lists the same sequence under 2 other names.